Molecule: ribosomal RNA, 253 nt
Filed under: uncultured bacterium
Lineage: Bacteria
Description: partial 16S ribosomal RNA
Rfam family: Bacterial small subunit ribosomal RNA
Source: RNAcentral
UACGUAGGGUGCGAGCGUUGUCCGGAAUUACUGGGCGUAAAGAGCUUGUAGGCGGUUUGGCGCGUCUGCCGUGAAAAUUCGAGGCUCAACCUCGAACUUGCGGUGGGUACGGGCAGACUAGAGUGUGGUAGGGGAGACUGGAAUUCCUGGUGUAGCGGUGAAAUGCGCAGAUAUCAGGAGGAACACCGAUGGCGAAGGCAGGUCUCUGGGCCACUACUGACGCUGAGAAGCGAAAGCAUGGGGAGCGAACAGG